UACGUAGGGGGCAAGCGUUGUCCGGAAUCAUUGGGCGUAAAGCGCGUGUAGGCGGCUCGAUAAGUCUGCUGUGAAAGUUCAGGGCUCAACCCUGAAAUGCCGGUGGAAACUGUCGGGCUAGAGUCUGGAAGAGGCGAGUGGAAUUCCUGGUGUAGCGGUGAAAUGCGCAGAUAUCAGGAGGAACACCAAUGGCGAAGGCAGCUCGCUGGGACGGUACUGACGCUGAGACGCGAAAGCGUGGGGAGCAAACAGG
RNAcentral lists this ribosomal RNA (253 nucleotides) under uncultured bacterium. RNAcentral describes it as "partial 16S ribosomal RNA". It matches the Rfam family "Bacterial small subunit ribosomal RNA", at positions 524 to 776 of the family's 1533-position model. The record is from RNAcentral.